Molecule: long non-coding RNA, 221 nt
Filed under: Lathyrus oleraceus (garden pea)
Lineage: Eukaryota; Viridiplantae; Streptophyta; Magnoliopsida; Fabales; Fabaceae
Description: Pisum sativum (pea) long non-coding RNA (PSAT_LNC036019)
Source: RNAcentral
AUCCAAUUCAACUCCACCACCACUACCAUCACACUAUCAAGAUUUACAUGUUCCAAUUGCCCUUAGGAAAGAUAGCGGAAACUGUACCAAACAAACACUUUAUCCUCUAUCAACUACCUAAGUUUUGAACACGUUUCACAUACCCAUAAAGUCUUCCUUACAAAUCUGAACAUUAUAAAACUACCUAGCUCUCUAUCUUGAGACAUUGUCUGACAGGAAAU